Molecule: non-coding RNA, 101 nt
Organism: Gymnopus androsaceus JB14
Lineage: Eukaryota; Fungi; Basidiomycota; Agaricomycetes; Agaricales; Omphalotaceae
Source: the annotation of a GenBank genome assembly
UCCUUCUUAGCUCAGUUGGUAGAGCGCGUCACUAGUAUCUUCUGUCUGUCGGAACACCCAAUCUAAUGACGAGGUCAGUCGUUCAAGUCGGCUAGAAGGAA